AUAUAGCAUAAGUGAAAAAUGCUUCUUAAGAUAUUUUUUAUUUAGCAAAAAAAAAAAAAAAAAAAAAAAACGGCUAAGUUAUUUUAAGCAAAUAGAAAAAUAUAAUUUAUCUACUAAUAAAACAAUUUUUCGUUUUUUUUUUUUUUUUUUUUUUAAAACUAUUUAUUGUAUAUAUACAUAUGUUUUCAAUUAUAAUUUGAUUUUUACUAUUAUUAUUACAUAAUUUAAAACAUAAGUAUACAUGAAAUUAUUUUUUUUUUAAAAAAAAUGCUCUUUUAAAUAACUUAUAUAUUUUGUAAAAAUAGGAAGAGUAGUAAAAAAAUGAAUAUAUAAUAUAAUUUUUGUUUUGUAGGACAAAAAUAUUGUUUAUUAUAUUAAUAUAUAAUACAUAUGUGAUUUAUUCAGUUUAUUUGUAUAAGUUACGUAUAUACAUAAAAAUAAAUAAAUAAAUAAAUAAAUAAAUAAAUAUAUAUAUAUAUAUAUAUAUAUAUAUUAUCAACUGUAUAUAUUAAUUUGUUAAACUUAAAUAUAAACGGUUUUAACAUUUCUUAAAAAAAAAAAAAAAAUUUUGUAAACAGUUAACACGCAGUUACAUAUUUUUUUUUUAAAAAGUUUAUUUUAUAUUUUUAUUUUGCUCUUUUCUUUAUAUAUUUUGUUUUUUUCUAUUGUUAUUAAUUUUUUCAUUUAAUUUUUUUAUUGAGCAAUUUUUAAAUAAAUACUGAUAUUUAUUAUAAAUCAAGAACAACAGAAAAAAAAAAUAAAAAAUGAAUCACUUAGAUGAAAACAGAGAAUCAAAUGAUCAUGAGCAUCAUAAUGCUGGAUCAACAUUGUACGUUUCAAAUUUAAGUUCAAGAAUAACUACUUGGGAACUUCAAGAUUUAUUUGAACAAUAUGGAACUAUAGAAAAAUGCCAUGUUAUCUGUAAUCCAAUUACAAAAGAAUCAAGACAAUUCGGAUUUGUCACUUUUCAUUCUCCUGAUGAAGCACAAAAUGCAAUGAAUAAAACACAUAACAUGGAUCUAGAAGGGAGACUUAUUAACGUACAAAUAGCCAGACGAGAUGAACCAUAUGAACCAACCCCAGGCCAAUAUAAAGGAACUAACAAUAGACGAAACUACGAAAUGAGGCGUAACUAUUAUGCAAGAAAUAAUUACAGAUAUUAUGAUAGAAGGCGAGUUGAAGCAAGAAGAUACCCAUAUUACAGAUACCCAAUAAAAAGUUACGGUUACAGAAAUAACACGUAUAGAAAUUAUGAUAAUAAUGGAAGAAAUACAUAUAACGAUAAUAGACGUUAUGAAAGAAAAUCAAUAGAUUAUAGAUAUCAUAAAAGAGAUGAUUAUUAUAAAAAACCUACAAUGAGCAGUGAUGAUGAAAAAUAUUAUUCAGGAGAUGAUAGUGGUAAAAGAAGAAGAAAAUAUGACAAAUAUAGAAGAUCAUUUAGUCACUCUUUAAGUAACCCAAGACAGCACAAAGGUUCUUCACCAUAAAGGAUGAUGACUUAAUAUUUAUAAAUACACUUUUCUAUACCUUUUUUCUUUCUCCUUUUACAAUUUAGCAAUUAAUAUCACGAAACAAAACAAAACAAAUUAUAUACUUAUGAAUGCUAAACAAAAUCAGAAUAUUUCUUAGUAGAUGGAUUCAUAUUUUUGUAUGUUAUAAUAAUAUAGCAAUUUUUUUUUUAUUUUUUUUUAUUUCAAAAGUUAAAAAUUAACAUUUAAGUGACUGUAUGUAUAUAUAUAUUAUACCAUUAAAUUGUAAAAUUUUCAAAUUAAACACAUACAUUUACCAAAAAAAAAAAAAAAAAAAAAAAAAAAUCGUACACAUUACACUUUUUUAAUACGAAUUACUGUAUCAAAACUAAGAAAAUUUUAAAAACAAUUAAAAAAAAAAUGUAUAACAUACGAAAAUCAGUGUUUUCAAAAAGUUAAAUGAAAAAUGGAUUUACCUUUGUUCGGUUACAUAUACCCAUCAUCAUAUCUCCACCUUUUUAAUAAUUUAUUGUAACUAACAAAAAAAAAAAAAAUAAAAUAAAAAAUAAAAUUGAUUUUUAAAUAAAU
Molecule: long non-coding RNA, 2057 nt
Filed under: Piliocolobus tephrosceles (Ugandan red Colobus)
Lineage: Eukaryota; Metazoa; Chordata; Mammalia; Primates; Cercopithecidae
Description: lncRNA (ENSPTEG00000004221.1)
Source: RNAcentral